RNAcentral lists this ribosomal RNA (450 nucleotides) under uncultured bacterium. RNAcentral describes it as "partial 16S ribosomal RNA". It matches the Rfam family "Bacterial small subunit ribosomal RNA", at positions 354 to 796 of the family's 1533-position model. The record is from RNAcentral.
GUGGGGAAUAUUGGACAAUGGGCGAAAGCCUGAUCCAGCCAUGCCGCGUGUGUGAAGAAGGCCUUCGGAUUGUAAAGCACUUUAAGUUGGGAGGAAGGGCAGUAAGUUAAUACCUUGCUGUUUUGACGUUACCGACAGAAUAAGCACCGGCUAACUUCGUGCCAGCAGCCGCGGUAAUACGAAGGGUGCAAGCGUUAAUCGGAAUUACUGCGCGUAAAUCGCGCGUAGGUGGUUUUGUAAGUUGGAGGUGAAAUCCCCGGGCUCAACCUGGGAACUGCCUACAAAAAUGCAUGACUAGAGUACGGUAGAGGGUAGUGGAAUUUCCUGUGUAGCGGUGAAAUGCGUAGAUAUAGGAAGGAACACCAGUGGCGAAGGCGACUACCUGGACUGAUACUGACACUGAGGUGCGAAAGCGUGGGGAGCAAACAGGAUUAGAAACCCUUGUAGUCC